This 253-nucleotide ribosomal RNA is filed under the name uncultured bacterium. RNAcentral's name for it is "partial 16S ribosomal RNA". It matches the Rfam family "Bacterial small subunit ribosomal RNA", at positions 524 to 776 of the family's 1533-position model. The record is from RNAcentral.
UACGGAGGGUGCAAGCGUUAAUCGGAAUUACUGGGCGUAAAGCGUGCGCAGGCGGUUUGUUAAGUCCGCUGUGAAAUCCCUGAGCUCAACUUGGGAAUUGCAGUGGAUACUGGCAAGCUGGAGUAUGGUAGAGGAAGGUGGAAUUCCCGGUGUAGCAGUGAAAUGCGUAGAGAUCGGGAGGAACACCAGUGGCGAAGGCGGCCUUCUGGACCAAUACUGACGCUCAUGCACGAAAGCGUGGGGAGCAAACAGG